UAGGCCUUCUCAAUAUAAAAAAUAUGGCAAUAAUUGACUCCUUAUUUACCUGCGCCUUUCUAAGAGAGUCUUCACGCAAUCCUUUCCGUCUCUUGGUCCGUUUAGGUACCGGAAUGUUUCAAUGGAGCUUUAGUGUUAAGGCUCAUUAGUUAGUUUUCAGCUUUUUAGUUUUUAUUGAAGUAUCUAGAUGAUGAUAGGAAUGCUCUUUAAGUUUUAUGUUUGGCGUGGCACUGUACGCGUCGAACGGGGUUCAUGUUUAUAUCUUUGAAAGCAUCAUUUCUGACAGCCCCUGAACGCAACAUCACAGCUCGCUAAUUUGUCCUGAAGUCUUCUCUGGUAAGUAGCAUUGAGCACCUCUGCUCACGGCUCAUUAUUUGAAUGGUUUAGAUUACGUUUUAGCAUUUUAAAACGGCAUCAUAAUGUUUCUUUAACUCAUGCCAAACAUAAACAUAAAGAGAAAAGUUGAAAAUCCCCCCUGUAUGGCAUAAGCACGAACCCGUGACUAACACUAGCAUAGCAGCUAACACGGACUUCCCCCUUUUUCUCUGUAAAAGUUUAUUGUAACGGUUAUAAAGGGAUGAAACAGCUAAUUAGGUCGCUAGCUAGCUAACACAUUUGUCAGUUACCAUGUCUUAGUCUUAGUGUCAGUCAAGCUUUCGCGUUAGCUUAAUCCCGUUAGCAUAAUGCUAAAGCCGUUAUGAGGGUACUCAAUCCCUGUUAGAUUUCUGUACGGUUAGCUAACGUUAGCCAAUUUCAAUGCAUUUAUGAAACCUCUAAAACCAAAUCAUUGUUUUCAUUAACUCAACUAACUUCAAUCAAGCUGAGAAAUGUUAAAAUGCAAAUAAAUAAACCAACAUCAGCAUAAUUAGCUCUAGUAGCCUGCUAGGCGCUAGCUGAGGCUAACCAUUGACUUGAGUAAGAACGAGCUCAUUUAUGUCAUAAAUACUGUGGGUGCUUGUCUAAGGCAUGUCUGUGUUUUUUAUCUGUUUUUAUUUAUUUAUUGUAUACAUAUUUAUUUUAUGUAUGACUGAGAUUGACUUUAAUCUGGGUUGUCAUGUUAUAUCAGCAAUAUUUAAACUGCAGUAAUCUACUUCUGUAAUUACUUUUUUUAAAACGCGGCAACGUAAAACUUACUACAAGUUUGUCUUAUUGUUUCCUCUCCUAGACAACAGAACAUCGAUCAUCUCCUCUGUGGUUAGUAAGUAUAGUAAUAUUGUACCUGAAAUUGAUAACAGGCCACAUAACUGUUUAGCAUCUGGAUGCUUUUUUCAAUUGUUGAUUUAUUUUGUUGUUUAUCUUAUUUAAUGAACAGUUGUUUGGGCUUUAAAAUAUUAGACAAUUGUGAAAACGUCAUGCAAAAGUCUCCCAGGAUUAUGUCCUUGUGUUUUGCCCAUAAGUCAGAGAGAUUCAGUUUACUCUCAUAGAGAAGCAAAGCAAUCAGAAAAUAUUGCAUAUUGCAGCCGGAAUCAGAGAAUUUAACUUCAUUCGUCAAUGAAUAGCAACAUCUUGAAUGCUGUGUACCAUAGUGCUAUAGAUUUGCACAUCUUAAAUCCUUCAGAAGCAAUGACAGCAAUCAAAGGUAAACAGUUUAGUCUUGUUAGCAAGACAGUUAGUAUUACCACACAGCUCAGUUUCACACUGCAAUAUACAAUUAUCUUCCUAGAAAAACGUCACUUUGGAAUGAGAUGGAUAAUACAUGAAGUAAUAACUUGAGACAUUUAUAAUGAAUAGAAUAAUGACUUUUGAACGAGACAGUGAUUUUAAAUAAGGACAUACAGAGUCCACCUGAAAUAACUUUUAAUUCAAAUAAGCAAUGAGGUUGCUUUUUAAAAUGUAACUGAGAAUGUCUCUUUUUUUUUUUCUUCUCUCCAUCCCUCACCCUCCUUGGACUCUUCCUGGACUCCUCCUUUUUGUGUUUAACUGCAGAACCUCACUGCUGGUGAAUUAUUGCUGACACUGAGCUAAGUGGCCUAGUCUUCCCUGUCUACUCCACUUUGGACGUCUUGGUGAUCUGACAGUGUCCUGCUGGCCAGCAUCUCUCCUCUAUCAUAAACGCUCUCUGUCUAUCCUAUACCUUCUAUCCACUCUGUCUCAUUAUUGGAACCUCUAUCUAUCCUAUCACAUCUACCGCUCUGUCUUUGAUAUCCACAACUCUAUCUUUGUAUCCCCCUUCUAUCCACUCUGUCUCAUUAUUGGAACCUCUAUCUAUCCUAUCAAAUCUACCGCUCUGUCUACAAUAUACAAUUCAGGUUACUAAUACCUGAUCUAACCACAUAACGUUGGUUACCCUUUAUUACAACAACCUCACAAGUACCUGAUCCAUCUUUUGAUGAACAAACUCUGCUGAACCACAUUACGUUGGUACCCUUUGUUACAACAACCUCAGGUUACAAGUACCUGUUCUACUAGAUCUACUAUCAGAUUAUCCUCUUUUAAUCUUCUAUCUACACGCAAUAGAAUACGAUUACUAUCUACAAAUUGGGCAAAGCUUUUGGAAUAAACUGAGUCUGUUUUAGUCAGAAUUAGUUUGAACGUAAAAUUGGAAAAAAGGUUAACAGGAUAUUUAUACACAUAGCACGGUUUCUUUAAUUGAAUAUCACUAGAUAUAUUAGCAAAAUUAUUGUUUACUUUAUUUAAAAUCUUUUUCAUAUACACAUACAUUGUUUAAGUGUCCAAGUGUUUUGUUGUUAAACUUUUCAUACUGAAAUAAAAUACAAGCAUCUGUCAGAAUUGGAUUUAUUUGACGUUUCCUGUCUGCAGACCCAACGUUCUUUUGGAGCAUUCAUCUGCCAUCAAACUCACACCACUGUUCCUGGUUUUGAAUAUAAACUAGUAUAACAUAGUAUUCAUAUUGUAUUUAAUAUCUUGGUUUUGUACGACAACAUUUGUGGUUUUGAAACAUCAACAAUGCCAAGGAAGAGUAAGAGGUCACAAGAUCAGAGCCUGCGCUGGCAGCGGCCCAAUGAGAAUCCCUGUGCAACAACGACUGAAGGAGCAGAAUGUGUUGGUCCUGAGAGCAGUGAAGAGGUAAAGAUGUCUGCAGAGUGUAAACGUGUGGAGCAGGAAGGUCAGCCUGAUGCUUCAUGUGCACCACCACCAUCUUAUGCAGAUGCUGUAAAGAGAGGACAGCACAGUGAUGAUCCAUGUGUAGCAGGACCUUCUAAUGUGAAGUAGCCAGGCUUCUAUCAGAUACGGCAGAUCCAGGAAUCGGCAGUGCACCUGUAACUCACUGACCUUUCUUGCAUUCCUCCAUGAGAAUGAAAGCAUCACCAGAGCAGACCUGGACCAUGUUUUGGAUAAAGGUAACACGAUGUAUAGAGAGACCAGGAAACAAGUCACUAAUCACAUCUAUCUGACCACCGACGAGCUCACUGAUGAAGUUCCUGCACGCAGCGCUACACACUAUGCAGACAUGACUCAGCUUUCAAGGUACGGCACAUUAGGAGAACCUUUACCUGGAUCUGUGGACAGCUUUCUGGACCUGGAGUCAGGACUCAGCUGCUUGUUGUCAGAUGUGAAGUACGCUCUGCUGUUGAUGAGACUCUUGUGUAUCGCAGUGUUCAGAACCAAGUCGGGCAGAUACGGUUUCUUUGACCCACACUCCAGAACAGCCAGAGGUUUGCCCCUACCAGCCGGUUCACGCACACCAGGUACUGCUGUCAUGGUGACAUUCUCACGUCUCAGUGACAUGAUUGACAGACUCAAGAAGUCCCACAGAAUGAUGGACACACAGUCCUCCUGUAACUAUGAGUUAAAGCCUGUGGAGUUCUACAACAUGAACACAGUCAACCUGAACGAUGGUCUCCCA
Gasterosteus aculeatus aculeatus (three-spined stickleback) is the source of this 3808-nucleotide long non-coding RNA. Lineage: Eukaryota; Metazoa; Chordata; Actinopteri; Perciformes; Gasterosteidae. The record is from Ensembl.